AGGGCUUGACAUCUGACGAACUUCUGUGAAAGCAGGAGGUGCUCUUCGGAGAGCGUCAAGACAGGUGGUGCACGGUUGUCGUCAGCUCGUGUCGUGAGAUGUUGGGUUAAGUCCCGCAACGAGCGCAACCCUCGUCGUUAGUUGGUCAUAUCGGUAUACUGAUAUGUAUCUCUCUAGCGAGACUGCCGGUGAUAAACCGGAGGAAGGUGAGGACGACGUCAAAUCAUCAUGCCCCUUAUGUCCUGGGCUACACACGUGUUACAAUGGCUGGUACAACGAGCAGCAAACUCGCGAGGGCAAGCAAAUCUCUUAAACCCAGUCUCAGUUCGGAUUGCACUCUGCAACUCGAGUGCAUGAAGUCGGAAUCGCUAGUAAACGCAGAUCAGCACGCUGCGUUGAAUACGUUCCCGGGUC
Molecule: ribosomal RNA, 414 nt
Filed under: uncultured bacterium
Lineage: Bacteria
Description: bacterial SSU rRNA
Rfam family: Bacterial small subunit ribosomal RNA
Source: RNAcentral